Molecule: unclassified non-coding RNA, 2234 nt
Filed under: Dermacentor andersoni
Lineage: Eukaryota; Metazoa; Arthropoda; Arachnida; Ixodida; Ixodidae
Description: uncharacterized LOC126544576
Source: RNAcentral
CACUUUUGCUUGUGCAGAUCGUGUACAACUGGCUGUUCGAAAUGACGCUUCGCUGGAUUCUGGAUUUGGGAGCCAAUGGCGAUAAGAAAAAGUUCCAGCAUCGCGUGCGGUUGCUGCGCAUCGGUGUAUUCAUGGUGAUGACCAUAGGCUUCCUGUACCAGGCAUCCAAAGUGGUUGAGGAGUACCUCAGCUUUCCCAGCGCCGUCGACGUUCGCAUCGAGGGCACCGAGGUGCUCCUCUUUCCUGGCCUCUCGGUCUGCGUCACCAACUGGAUUAGCAAGACCAAGCUCUGCGAGCACUACCAGGAGUUCUGCGACACCAACAACACUAACGUAGAAGAGCUGAAAAGACUGCUGCUAACCGGUGGCAACCUUGGAGACAUAGCUCACACCUCUGAAGAUGUUCUGCAAAUCGGCUUUGUUAACCCAACGCAGUAUUUCUUCGAGUUUUACCUGAGUCCAAACGUUACUCGACAAUCAUACUCCCGCCUGCCAAGCCAGAUGUGUUACACCAUGAAUUGGAGGCAUGACUCCAAGAUCGAUACCGUCCACCAAAACGUCCUGGCCUUCGAGAUGAACGUGCUCUUUGCCUGGCCCGAAGACGACCUCAUAGAAAUGGAUGAAUUCGAAAUGAACCUCGGCUUUCACCACGUUGACACAAACACAGCGGGAAAGAAGCACGCCAUGGCUUUCAAGCCCUCAGGCGACUUCGUCUUCGGAAUCGUGCAGGAAGGAGUCGUAUCUCUGCCUGCUCCCUUCGCCACCAAGUGUGACAACUACAGCCGGUACCUGCGCCUACCAAACUACAAAGUCCAGUACUCAAAAGAGAUAUGUUACGAAGAGUGCCGCAAGGAAAUAACGCGCGAAGUGUGUGGAUGUAUCCCAAAUGAUUACGCCUGGCGAAAUCACAUAAGUGAAAAAGUCUGCGACUUGGCCGAGACAAUUCACUGCGUUCACAAAGAUGGCCGAGCGAUGUACAGCGUGGUCUGCAAUGAACGCUGUCACACGGCGUGCAGGGAGACCAUCUAUAAGGCAACGCAGUCGGCAUGGAAACAAGAAACCAGCAUGUCUAUGGAGGGGCUCACGUACGUCAAAGUGCGAGCGCUGAUGACGUCGCGGAGCGUCGAAGCACUCCACUUCAUUCCUCUGUUAACGGGCACACAAGUGCUGGGCCUUGUGGGAGGCUACUCUGGGUUCUGGAUGGGCGUGGCGAUAGUGGUGGGUGCCACGGAAAGCGUGCGCGUGGUCUUCGACUUCUGCCGGCGACGCGUGCGAUCUCGGCUCCACAAGGCCGAGAUCAGCUUCCUGUUCCGCGUGUGCAAGAUGCUGAUGGUACAGGGCUGCUUCGUGGCGUGCGCGUUCAGCAUCUACGGGGACUACGAAAACUACCGGCACUACUACACGGCCGUCACCUACGAGCAGCAAAACAUCCGCGGCGUCUUCUUCCCCGCUGUGACCAUCUGCUCAUACGAAGCGGUGAAUUUCACUAGGAUGUGUGCAGAGUACGGAAGGUACAACAAAUGCGUCGCUGCUACUUUUGAUACAACUGUAGGCAACGAUAUCAUCGCCAUGAAGUACGUGAUCAACUACACCUAUCCUCCGGCUGACGUCUUUUCGAAUUGCACCAUGACAUUCUCCGGAGAGAUAUGUGAAAGCUUCAAAUGUGACAACCUCUGGGAUCCCACAUAUACAUUUGUGAAGACUGGCGUCUGCUUCAUCCUUAACAUCGGAAGGUCACCGGAACUUCAGAGAUGUCGAGAGCAGUACAAAUACCGGCUCAACUUCCGCGUUCGCGCGGAUACCAAGGAUCCUCGGAACGAGAACAUGGCCUUCUCGGCGUUGCUGCACGGUACCAGCAGCUACACUUCGGGAAUCAUCCACACCUUCCGCUUUCAGGCGGGUCGCAAAUACACGAUCUCUGUCGCUCAGACAGAGCUGGUCUCGUUGCCGCUACCAUAUGAGACCCGUUGCAUCGACUACGUCGCUACCGCGGAUGAAUCUCUGUAUGAUGAGAAAGAGAUUCAAGAAGAGUGCGUUGCAUCGACGAACUGAUCCGUCAGAAGUGGUUCAUGUCCUGCCAAAACAUCUGCACCCGAGGAUGCAAAGACACUCGUUAUAGAGGUCUGAUGUUCCAAACCGGAUUCAUCACGGAUUACGUAAGAUACGAAAACCUCGAGGCAGACCUCACGGUAGUCCUCGGCUCUACGAAGCGCAAGAUUGUGAGCAACCUGCCAA